Molecule: ribosomal RNA, 459 nt
Filed under: uncultured bacterium
Lineage: Bacteria
Description: partial 16S ribosomal RNA
Rfam family: Bacterial small subunit ribosomal RNA
Source: RNAcentral
CCUACGGGAGGCAGCAGUGAGGAAUAUUGGUCAAUGGUCGGGAGACUGAACCAGCCAAGCCGCGUGAGGGAUGAAGGUACAGAGUAUCGUAAACCUCUUUUGUCAGGGAACAAAGGCGGGGACGUGUCCCCGGAUGAGUGUACCUGAAGAAAAAGCAUCGGCUAACUCCGUGCCAGCAGCCGCGGUAAUACGGAGGAUGCGAGGGUUAUCCGGAUUUAUUGGGUUUAAGGGGUGCGCAGGCGGUCUGUUAAGUCAGCGGUCAAAGCUCGGGGCUCAACCCCAGACCGCCGUUGAAAAUGGCAGUCUUGAGUUGGGGAGAGGUAGGCGGAAUGCGCGGUGUAGCGGUGAAAUGCAUAGAUAUCGCGCAGAACUCCGAUUGCGAAGGCAGCAUGCCGGCUCCACACUGACGCUGAGGCACGAAAGCGUGGGUAUCGAACAGGAUUAGAUACCCUGGUAGUC